Molecule: ribosomal RNA, 414 nt
Filed under: Triticum aestivum (bread wheat)
Lineage: Eukaryota; Viridiplantae; Streptophyta; Magnoliopsida; Poales; Poaceae
Description: partial small subunit ribosomal RNA
Source: RNAcentral
AUGUGGGUAUGGAGUUUCUUCUCGACGCCGUCGACAGGAACGAACUGUAGCGACCCGAAGACUCAAAUGCUGGGUCUGCAUGCGGUCAGCGGCUCGGGGAAGAGGGACCUGAGAAAGCACGAGACAGAGUCUGCCGGCGUCGGAAAUCAUCACCGACUAGGUCGGCGCAGUCCACAUACAGAGUCAACCCCCAGGCCCCAGGAUGGACGAAAAGCUGAGGUAGUGGACAUAGCCGAAGAAAUUGAACCACCAUGGUCUCCGUGGACAGGUUGGACUGAACCUGCUGAUGGUUGGGAGACGGAGCUAUCUAGCCUGCUUGGUUGCGCUGGUGCACAUGGUGCCGGACGACUUGCUGCUGAGCACGGGCUAUCUGCUGAGUGCUCAUCCUCCUCAGAUAUGAGCGAUGAAAGUUGA